CAGCAGCCACGGUAAUACGUAGGUGGCAAGCGUUGUCCGGAAUUAUUGGGCGUAAAGGGCUCGCAGGCGGUUUCUUAAGUCUGAUGUGAAAGCCCCCGGCUCAACCGGGGAGGGUCAUUGGAAACUGGGAAACUUGAGUGCAGAAGAGGAGAGUGGAAUUCCACGUGUAGCGGUGAAAUGCGUAGAGAUGUGGAGGAACACCAGUGGCGAAGGCGACUCUCUGGUCUGUAACUGACGCUGGGGAGCGAAAGCGUGGGGAGCGAACAGGAUUAGAUACCCGAGUAGUCCCUGUCUCUUAUAC
RNAcentral lists this ribosomal RNA (301 nucleotides) under uncultured bacterium. RNAcentral describes it as "partial 16S ribosomal RNA". It matches the Rfam family "Bacterial small subunit ribosomal RNA", at positions 509 to 807 of the family's 1533-position model. The record is from RNAcentral.